AACUGAGGAAACGAUGGCUUACCUUCAUUCUCAUUAUCUUGUUUAGUUUUGGGGUAAUAUUCCGUGAUUGGAGUUUGUAGCAAAUCAACAAAGUAAUUACAUUUUAAAGCAUCAAAACUACAAAAGGUAUUUGAUUAGGUAGAAAGCAGGAAUACAUUUCAUUCAAACUAUCUAAAAACAAAAAAUAAUAGUUUUUCUAAAAGCAUUUUCUUUACAUUAUAAUAGAAGGAAGUUUCAGUCAUGGGUGAUCAGAAGAUCCCCACCUUGCCCACUCCUGUAUUGAAGUGUCCUUGGGCAAGAAACUAAACCCCACAUUGCUCCUGGUGGUUAUUGGUUGUCGCCACUGUUUGGCAGUGCAGCUGUCAUCAGAGUGUGGAUGAAAUUGUGAAUUUAUAGCACAUUGGGCUUUAUAGGGAGGAAGCAAAACACAAAAUAUGAAAAAGCAAUUUACCCUGAGAGUUGUGGACGUGGCGAACGGCAUAGUGGUUCUUUUUAAAUUUUGUGGCCAAAAUAAUACUUCUAAACAUUUUUACUUAAAUGAAUAAUGUUUAACAUUUGGAUGUAAUGCUUAUGUAUAAAAUGUAGAGUUCCAAAUUAUUUUCUUUUAUUAAACAUACUUGUGUUUAAAAUGAAUACUUUUAUUUAUUAAUUUCAGAUUUAGAUAGAAAUUCAUAAUGGAAACCUAGAAACAAAUUUGCAAUUUGACUUUUAAAUUCAACCAAUAACAUUCAGUUUACAAACCUUUAUUUAUACAAUGUGUUACUUUCACAUAACUGCUCAGUAUUUUUAAUAUGCAAAUCUACAAUUACAGAUAUGAUGUGGAAACAGUAUAGAUUUAGAUUUCCAUUGUCUCUUAUAUUUUUAUAUUAAUAUGUUUUUUGGUAUUAAAGGUCAAAAAUUCAGAUUCAGCAUUGACAUCAGUAAUUUUCUGAUUAAUACAACAGCUUUGUUUAACUACCUUGUUGACUGGCAGUUUUGUAGAGUGACAGAAAACCACAGAACUGCUUCCGCAAUUCUUAUCAAAAGCAAGCCACAAAAAAAAAAAAAAAAAAAAGACACACAAGCCAUCCCACUGUCUGUAGCAUUCAGUCUUGUCAGUCAACGAACAAAGAAUCUUCACUCUGUGUUAAGAAGGUGAACAACUGUCUCAUUUCGGCUUUCACUCAGUACGUCUUUGGCUCCUUUCACCCAAGAAAUUCAGCCUAAUUGUGAGUAUAAAGACACAUAUGUUUAAUUUCCUAAAUUAAUGAAUCACAUAUAUGGUUUACAUGUUGAUAUGUAUUUUUUUUUUAGUCAGAAUGAUUCUCGUCUCUUUGAUCACAGCAUCUCUGCUAGCAGGAUCUUUUGGAAAAGGUUUUACAGAGUGCAGCUUUAGUGAAUAUGAACAAACCUCAUGUUUAGCUGCGGCUGGAAAAUUUAUUUUUUUUAACCUGAUGAGCAAAGACUUUGAGGACUUGAAGCUCCUAAAGGAUGGCAAGUUUAGAAUCUUUAGGACAGUAAAUGAAUCAGUAAUAAUUGAUACUCCCUAUACAAACAAAGUCAUUUUUUUAAAAAAUGGAACAAUCAAACUGAACAACGUUUCAAAGAAAGAUGCUGGAAAUUACAUGCUUGAGGAGUUCAACUACAACGGGAAACGACUGAGAAAUUGCAGUAUCAAUCUUAAAGUAUUUGCUCCCGUGUCUGUGUUAACGGUGUCUCAGCAGUGUUUGUCACCAGAACAGAAGAAAGUCACAUGUUUGUUUGAGGGCGAUGAAGCAGAACUCUCUCUGACUUUGAAUGAUCACUUACUUUUACGAUCAAACAAAUACAGUCAGUUUCUGAACAACGAUACAUCUGAAAGAUCCAGAGUGUUUAAUGUUUCUGUCAUCAUACAUGUACAACUCCUUGGAAACAUCACAUGCAAAGUCUGGAACAACGUCAGCAGAAAUGAGAUGGAUAUUAACCUCACUGCUUGCAGU
This is a long non-coding RNA of Oryzias melastigma (Indian medaka), 1958 nucleotides long. RefSeq lists it as uncharacterized. The record is from RefSeq and is a predicted model, not a curated record. NCBI's taxonomy places the organism in Eukaryota, Metazoa, Chordata, Actinopteri, Beloniformes, Adrianichthyidae. The transcript has 3 exons.